AUCUGUAGCCAUAGCACCCUGAAUGUACCCCCGUCAAUCUGAUCUCUGAAGCUAUGCAGGCUCAGGCCUGGUUUGUACACUUGCAUGUGGAAACAACAAUAAAAAGCAAGUGCAGAAC
RNAcentral lists this ribosomal RNA (118 nucleotides) under Nannospalax galili (Upper Galilee mountains blind mole rat). The record is from RNAcentral. Lineage: Eukaryota; Metazoa; Chordata; Mammalia; Rodentia; Spalacidae.